RNAcentral lists this ribosomal RNA (468 nucleotides) under uncultured bacterium. RNAcentral describes it as "partial 16S ribosomal RNA". It matches the Rfam family "Bacterial small subunit ribosomal RNA", at positions 28 to 507 of the family's 1533-position model. The record is from RNAcentral.
GACGAACGCUGGCGGUGUGCUUAACACAUGCAAGUCGAACGGUAAGGCCCUUUCGGGGGUCCACGACUGGCGAACGGGUGCGUACGACGUGGGUAAUCUGCCCUCAUUUCUGGUUUAACAGUCGGAACCGGUUGCUAAUACCGGUAAUAACCUAUACAGGCUUCUUGUGGGUUGGAAAGAUUUUUUUUGGUUGGGGAUUGACUUGGGGCGUAUCCGCUUGUUGGUGUGGAAGUGGCUCACCCAGGCUUCGACGGGGAGCCGGCCUGAGAGGGCGAGGGGACACAUUGGGACUCAGAGACGGGCCGAAGUCGUACGGGAGGCAGCAAUGGGGAAUAUUGGACAAAGGACGGAAGUCUGAUGCAGCAACGCCUCGGGCUGGAUGACGGCCUUCGUGGUGUAAGCAGCGUUCAAUGGUGACGAAGCUUUGUUGUGACGGUAGCAGUAGAAGAAGCACCGGCUAACUACGUG